ACUAAAACAAAUAAACAUAAAAGUGGAUUAGGGUUAAGUGACCUUUGGGAUUCUUCUCUUCUCCCUCUCACGAUCAUGAAGCAGGCCUCACUCUCAACUCUCAGCUCACCUCUCGAUCGAUAUCUCUCUCGGCUCUAUCUCAUGGUCUCUCUGCUACCGAUUCUUCACUCCCUUUGCUAUCACCGAUCCAAAUCUCUCUAUCAUCAUCGUUUUGCUUCGAAUUCAGUAACAGCAAACAUACAAACCUUCAAUGUUACCCUUUAUCCCAAACAAACCCUAAGCCCCAAUUCGUUAUUGAUUUUCAGUGAUUUAAAGAGCCAGCACAAAAAGGCAGAUCUAGGUGCAGAUUGGCUCCGGUGUGACAGAUGAGAAGAUGAUUUGGGUAGUCGUCCCGGUUCCAUAGUCCAGCUCUUCCUUUGCCGCACUCGAUUUGCUACACUCACAACUCUAGCUUAAAUUCAGGUAUUCUUCAUUCUUCUUUGUGAGCAACUCUAGCUUAUUGUUCUCUCCUUUGUAGUUGUCAAUGCGGUCAAGAGUUAGAUUAAAUAUAACCUAUCCAUUCUACAAAUUAUUAACAUAACUAUAUUUAUGUGGAACUAAUUGUUUAUAGUGUUUCAUGUGCUUUUGAAAGGUAUAGAGUUACUCUUAUGGUCUAGGCUUCAAUUUUGCAAACAAGGUGUUUGUUGAAAUGUCUCUACAAGUUUGGCUAUGAUUUGUUGAAAUUAUUUUCCGAGUCUCAAUAUAAACUCUUGCAUACAUACCAGCUUCUAGCCUCAAACCAAAUGCCUGACUGCCUAACUAAUGCAUGCCAAUAACCAUUCUAAAACACAAGAUAUAGCUGCACUGCUAUAUCAGGUCAUAAUGAUUUCAUAUCUUAUAAUACAUGCCCUCUAAUGCAAAAUCACGUGUGGAGAAUGCACUGUUCCAUUUUAUUAUGUACUGAAAUUUUUUAUUUUUAUCUACAAGAAUGGAUGCAACAAGGACUGAACCACAUGGUCAUAUGAAUUCUUUUAUAUUCUAAUCCAUGCAUAUUCAAUUUUGAUAUUAGUAGUUAGUGUUUCAAAUGUUAAGGAUCAAUUAGUUGAACCAAGGAAUAAGUGCUUCUGCUACUUGGUUCCAGCAACAGACAUCAUGAACAUAAGAAACUAGUCCCUGCAAUUAACAUCUCAUCUGCUUUAUAUGGAUUCAUUUCAUUAAUUUAAUCAUAUCAUCUUAUGCAAAUAGCAUAUUCAAUCUAAGAAUGUUAUUUGGUCACAAUUAAACCAUGACAAAGUUGACCAAGUAUCGUAGGAGUCGUCAGCAAUAUAUAUAGCCUCGAGAGUAAGUCUUAGCAACAUGUUUAAAAUACAAGGCAUAUCAAUGUGAUUUGUUCAUCGGUUCCACUGCUUGCAACUUGAGCCGAGCAGUUAAAGAUAGGCAACGUUAGGAGGAUCAAUCUUUAAUGUGGAGCAUUUUUUUUUCUGUUUUGUAUUUUCUUCCUUGUGUGAAAGCUGCAGGGCUGAUAUUAAGUAAGUGAAUGAUGGAGCUUCAGAGUUGGCCAAGGGUUUCGGUUGUGUUCUGAACUGACCAUGACUGGUUCUGUUUCUCUUUGCGGCGCAAUAAGUGAGUUAAUAAAUGAAGAGGAUGGAGGAAUACACAAGUGACAUGCUUCACCUUCCAUUCGUGAUAGAGGUACACUGAUGUCUUUACCCAGUCAAGCCUCUACUUCGUCUAAUCCACCUAGUUAUGGAACAUCUGCAAUUGUUGCCAUGGAUAGAAGUUCAAGUUUAUCAUCAGGGACAUCCGUCUCCUCUGGUGUACUUAUAUAUAUGAAGUAUGAUUUAUAAUUAACCACUUAUAGGGAUGAUGAUCUGUUUGUAGUGUUUAUAACAAGUCUUUGUCACUCAAGUUUUUAUAUUUAGUUUUGGUUCAGGUUCAUUAGAUAUAUAAUGUACUUAGUCAAUCAUAUACUGAUGCUAUUGUCAUUGAUGUGUAGACAGUAAAAUAAUUUGUAUUCAUAAAAUUAUAGUAAUCAAAUUUUAAAUUCUUUAAAAUUGGCGCAAGUGAUUGGUGUGUUGG
Long non-coding RNA from Vicia villosa (hairy vetch), 2058 nucleotides. RefSeq lists it as uncharacterized. The transcript has 4 exons. Lineage: Eukaryota; Viridiplantae; Streptophyta; Magnoliopsida; Fabales; Fabaceae. The record is from RefSeq and is a predicted model, not a curated record.